ACUCAUUUUAGCACAGUGAUGGGUGGGGUGUUACAUUGAUCACCACUUUUAAUUUGAAUGUGGAUGCACGUUGCCAUCUUUGAUCGUAUAUUACAUAAAUCCCUUCAGUACUAGUGGCAACAUCUGCAGAGGCUUUAGGAGAGGAGGCGGUGGACGAUAAGGCUCUCUAACUAGUCAUCGUUUGUUCAGGUUUUGUGGUGGCCAUGCAUUGGAUGCUCUUAUCAAUAGUGCUUGUUGUAGUAUGAUGGCUGAUGAUUAAACUUAAAAAUUUGUGUUUGGAAUUUGGGUUUUAGAGAAGAGAAAGAGAACU
Molecule: long non-coding RNA, 310 nt
Filed under: Carica papaya (papaya)
Lineage: Eukaryota; Viridiplantae; Streptophyta; Magnoliopsida; Brassicales; Caricaceae
Description: long non-coding RNA (CPAP_LNC010798)
Source: RNAcentral